CUACGGGGGGCUCCAGUGAGGAAUUUUGCGCAAUGGGGGGAACCCUGACGCAGCAACGCCGCGUGAGUGAUGAAGGCUUUCGGGUCGUAAAGCUCUGUCAAGUGGGAAGAACCUAUGCAGUGUUAAUAUCACUGUAUACUGACGGUACCACUGAAGGAAGCACCGGCUAACUCCGUGCCAGCAGCCGCGGUGAAUACGGGGGGUGCAAGCGUUAUUCGGAAUCAUUGGGCGUAAAGGGCACGUAGGCGGCUUGGUAAGUCAGAUGUGAAAGCCCGGGGCUUAACCCCGGAAGUGCAUUUGAUACUGUCAGGCUUGAGUAUGGGAGAGGGAAGUGGAAUUCCUGGUGUAGAGGUGAAAUUCGUAGAUAUCAGGAGGAACACCGGUGGCGAAGGCGACUUCCUGGACCAAUACUGACGCUGAGGUGCGAAGGCGUGGGUAGCAAACAGGAUUAGAUACCCUGGUAGUC
This 466-nucleotide ribosomal RNA is filed under the name uncultured bacterium. RNAcentral's name for it is "partial 16S ribosomal RNA". It matches the Rfam family "Bacterial small subunit ribosomal RNA", at positions 339 to 795 of the family's 1533-position model. The record is from RNAcentral.